AGUGAACGCUGGCGGUAGGCCUAACACAUGCAAGUCGAACGGCAGCACAGUAAGAGCUUGCUCUUACGGGUGGCGAGUGGCGGACGGGUGAGGAAUACAUCGGAAUCUACUUUUUCGUGGGGGAUAACGUAGGGAAACUUACGCUAAUACCGCAUACGACCUACGGGUGAAAGUAGGGGAUCUUCGGACCUUGCGCGAUUGAAUGAGCCGAUGUCGGAUUAGCUAGUUGGCGGGGUAAAGGCCCACCAAGGCGACGAUCCGUAGCUGGUCUGAGAGGAUGAACAGCCACACUGGAACUGAGACACGGUCCAGACUCCUACGGGAGGCAGCAGUGGGGAAUAUUGGACAGUGGGCGCAAGCCUGAUCCAGCCAUACCGCGUGGGUGAAGAAGGCCUUCGGGUUGUAAAGCCCUUUUGUUGGGAAAGAAAAGCAGCAGGUUAAUACCCCGCUGUUCUGACGGUACCCAAAGAAUAAGCACCGGCUAACUUCGU
Molecule: ribosomal RNA, 491 nt
Filed under: uncultured bacterium
Lineage: Bacteria
Description: partial 16S ribosomal RNA
Rfam family: Bacterial small subunit ribosomal RNA
Source: RNAcentral